This 379-nucleotide unclassified non-coding RNA is filed under the name uncultured Rickettsiales bacterium. RNAcentral's name for it is "contains 16S-23S intergenic spacer region". Lineage: Bacteria; Pseudomonadati; Pseudomonadota; Alphaproteobacteria; Rickettsiales. The record is from RNAcentral.
UCCAGCUUAACGCUGGCGGUUUCCUUAGAGUUCCCGGCCGAACCGCUGGCAACUAAGGAUAAGGGUUGCGCUCGUUGCGGGACUUAACCCAACAUCUCACGACACGAGCUGACGACAGCCAUGCAGCACCUGUGUUCCAGCCAGCCAAACUGAAGGACUCCGUCUCUGGAGCCCAUACUGGACAUGUCAAGGCCUGGUAAGGUUCUUCGCGUUGCGUCGAAUUAAACCACAUGCUCCACCGCUUGUGCGGGUCCCCGUCAAUUCCUUUGAGUUUUAAUCUUGCGACCGUACUCCCCAGGCGGAGUGCUUAAUGCGUUAGCGGCGCCACCGAGCCCUAUGGACCCAACGGCUAGCACUCAUCGUUUACGGCGUGGACUAC